RNAcentral lists this unclassified non-coding RNA (496 nucleotides) under uncultured Glomus. RNAcentral's name for it is "SSU rRNA". It matches the Rfam family "Eukaryotic small subunit ribosomal RNA", at positions 591 to 1092 of the family's 1831-position model. Lineage: Eukaryota; Fungi; Glomeromycota; Glomeromycetes; Glomerales; Glomeraceae. The record is from RNAcentral.
CCAAUAGCGUAUAUUAAAGUUGCUGCAGUUAAAAAGCUCGUAGUUGAAUUUCGGGACUAAUAUGUCGGUCGUGCCUCGGUACGUACUGGUAUUUUUGGUUUCUCCCUUCUGACGAACCUUGAUGUCAUUAAUUUGGUGUCUUGGGAAAUCAGGACUGUUACUUUGAAAAAAUUAGAGUGUUUAAAGCAGGCUCACGCUUGAAUACAUUAGCAUGGAAUAAUGAAAUAGGACGUUUGAUUCUAUUUUGUUGGUUUCUAGGAUCGACGUAAUGAUUAAUAGGGAUAGUUGGGGGCAUUAGUAUUCAAUUGUCAGAGGUGAAAUUCUUGGAUUUAUUGAAGACUAACUACUGCGAAAGCAUUUGCCAAGGAUGUUUUCAUUAAUCAAGAACGAAAGUUAGGGGAUCGAAGACGAUCAGAUACCGUCGUAGUCUUAACCAUAAACUAUGCCGACCGGCGAUCCGCUGUCGUUACUUGAAUGACUCAGCGGGCAGCCUCCG